Molecule: long non-coding RNA, 276 nt
Filed under: Eucalyptus grandis
Lineage: Eukaryota; Viridiplantae; Streptophyta; Magnoliopsida; Myrtales; Myrtaceae
Description: long non-coding RNA (EGRA_LNC000427)
Source: RNAcentral
GAUGCUGAAACAAAAUAAGUCCAGAAGCUUCAUCAGUGCUGUCGAAAAGGCUGUGGAUGAAUUUGGCACCCGUGUGAGGCUGAAGCUCUCGUGCACAUGCUUUCUACCAGAAGAUGAAGAAGGGGCUGUAAAGCCUGAAGAAGGGGCUGUAAAGCCUGAAGAAGGGGCAAAGGUCUCUGUUUUGGAGGAACUCAGUGAAGUUUCGAGCGGUUUAUUUGAAGCCGAGAAAUUUCUCCAUCAUCUAAAAUGCGUUGCCCUUGCUACUUCUGUGCCUAG